GAAGAAUUAAAGGUCGAACAGACCUCCAUAUUUAUUUAAAAAUGGCCCCUCAAUUCAACAUCGAGGUCGUAAGUCUUUAAGUAAUAUUAAAUUAUUAUUUAAAAUUACGCUGUUAUCCCUAAAGUAACUCUAAAUCUAUAAAAGAUUAUAUAUUUCAUAAAUAUAUGUUUAAUUUAUUAAAGUUUUUUAAUUACCGCCCCAGCCUAACUAUAUAGAAAUUCUAUUUUCUAUUUUAUAAAUUAAUCCCCAUAGUAAAGUUUUAUAGGGUCUUAUCGUCUUUCUAACUUAGCUAUACUUUUAAAUAUAGAUAUCAAUUUCUAACCCUAAACCUAAAAAGUCAAAAUGUUGUUGACUCUUUCAUCCCAGUUCUCUAUUAUAGAACAAAUGAUUAUGCUACCUUAGCACAGUUAAAAUUCUGCGGCUAUUUACUUCUUUCACUGAGCAGAGUUUACUAAUUUAAAAACUAGAA
Molecule: ribosomal RNA, 469 nt
Filed under: Macrostylis cf. metallicola BOLD:ADL4492
Lineage: Eukaryota; Metazoa; Arthropoda; Malacostraca; Isopoda; Macrostylidae
Description: partial 16S ribosomal RNA
Source: RNAcentral